AAGGUUUCUUCUACAUUUCAUUGAGUUAAUAAGUAUGGAGAAGCAAGGCGUGAAAAUGAGAGAAAGCUUGAUACCCAAUAUCAACGAAAAAUUGCCGAAGCACUUGAUAAUCACUUGACUGCUAUCCAAAGGGACCAUGAACUCAGGUCCCAGAUAGAAGAAAGGAAAAUAAGAAGUGAUGCGGCUUAUGAAGGGGCCAAAAGAAAAGAGAAAGCUCUCCUGGAAGAAAAACUCCGCCAAGAAAAAGCCAAAGCAGAAGCUGAGGCAAAACUCAGAGCUGAAGAAGCAAAUAGGGCUGCAAUGGAAGCUCAGAGAAGAGAAGCAAAAGA
Molecule: long non-coding RNA, 329 nt
Organism: Humulus lupulus (European hop)
Lineage: Eukaryota; Viridiplantae; Streptophyta; Magnoliopsida; Rosales; Cannabaceae
Exons: 3
Source: RefSeq, a predicted model, not a curated record